RNAcentral lists this long non-coding RNA (631 nucleotides) under Mytilus galloprovincialis (Mediterranean mussel). The record is from RNAcentral. Lineage: Eukaryota; Metazoa; Mollusca; Bivalvia; Mytilida; Mytilidae.
GUUUCUUAUAAAGACAUCUACCAGACAACAAAUGGAAGUUUUUAACGACCUUGACUGGCUAUACAGCCCUUGCACAGUGGACAUCUACCAGUGGCAGAUGCAGAACUUUUUAUAAGGGGAGGGGGGGCUCACUGACUGACCUGAGGGGAGGGGAGAAUCUCAUUCAAGCUUCAGUGAUUCGCUAUAUAAUCAACCAAAUUGUCCCCUUCAUGAUCUGCCUAUGUCUACUCAAUGUAAUAUACAUAAAUAUUUGAAUUCAGAUUUAUCAGGUCAAAUUAUUUGUUUUCAGUUUUAUUAUGAAUUAUGAAUUUUUACUAUUAGGACCAAAUAUCAAGAACUAGAAGAAGUACCCUUUCAUAUUCCUUCUUUUAUUUUUUAUUGGAUGAUGAAUAAUUGGGACAGGAGGGUCCAGAGACACAGGCGUAAAGGUAUUUAGGGAAAAAAAAUUCUGAGACGAGUGCCUGUCAGGUAUAUGGGAAUUUUUUUUUUCUGAGACGAGUGCCUGUGUCCAGAGAAAUACCAUAUAUAUUAUAAAUUGGAAAAUCCAAACACUUGUAUAUUGCUAAAGACUUAAUAUAUGAUGAUCUCUACAUGUCUUCUGAUUUUGUGUUUUGGGGUUGCUGUCAUAUUG